This 2905-nucleotide ribosomal RNA is filed under the name Escherichia coli. RNAcentral describes it as "23S ribosomal RNA". It matches the Rfam family "Bacterial large subunit ribosomal RNA". The record is from RNAcentral. Lineage: Bacteria; Pseudomonadati; Pseudomonadota; Gammaproteobacteria; Enterobacterales; Enterobacteriaceae.
GGUUAAGCGACUAAGCGUACACGGUGGAUGCCCUGGCAGUCAGAGGCGAUGAAGGACGUGCUAAUCUGCGAUAAGCGUCGGUAAGGUGAUAUGAACCGUUAUAACCGGCGAUUUCCGAAUGGGGAAACCCAGUGUGUUUCGACACACUAUCAUUAACUGAAUCCAUAGGUUAAUGAGGCGAACCGGGGGAACUGAAACAUCUAAGUACCCCGAGGAAAAGAAAUCAACCGAGAUUCCCCCAGUAGCGGCGAGCGAACGGGGAGGAGCCCAGAGCCUGAAUCAGUGUGUGUGUUAGUGGAAGCGUCUGGAAAGGCGCGCGAUACAGGGUGACAGCCCCGUACACAAAAAUGCACAUGCUGUGAGCUCGAUGAGUAGGGCGGGACACGUGGUAUCCUGUCUGAAUAUGGGGGGACCAUCCUCCAAGGCUAAAUACUCCUGACUGACCGAUAGUGAACCAGUACCGUGAGGGAAAGGCGAAAAGAACCCCGGCGAGGGGAGUGAAAAAGAACCUGAAACCGUGUACGUACAAGCAGUGGGAGCACGCUUCGGCGUGUGACUGCGUACCUUUUGUAUAAUGGGUCAGCGACUUAUAUUCUGUAGCAAGGUUAACCGAAUAGGGGAGCCGAAGGGAAACCGAGUCUUAACUGGGCGUUAAGUUGCAGGGUAUAGACCCGAAACCCGGUGAUCUAGCCAUGGGCAGGUUGAAGGUUGGGUAACACUAACUGGAGGACCGAACCGACUAAUGUUGAAAAAUUAGCGGAUGACUUGUGGCUGGGGGUGAAAGGCCAAUCAAACCGGGAGAUAGCUGGUUCUCCCCGAAAGCUAUUUAGGUAGCGCCUCGUGAAUUCAUCUCCGGGGGUAGAGCACUGUUUCGGCAAGGGGGUCAUCCCGACUUACCAACCCGAUGCAAACUGCGAAUACCGGAGAAUGUUAUCACGGGAGACACACGGCGGGUGCUAACGUCCGUCGUGAAGAGGGAAACAACCCAGACCGCCAGCUAAGGUCCCAAAGUCAUGGUUAAGUGGGAAACGAUGUGGGAAGGCCCAGACAGCCAGGAUGUUGGCUUAGAAGCAGCCAUCAUUUAAAGAAAGCGUAAUAGCUCACUGGUCGAGUCGGCCUGCGCGGAAGAUGUAACGGGGCUAAACCAUGCACCGAAGCUGCGGCAGCGACACUAUGUGUUGUUGGGUAGGGGAGCGUUCUGUAAGCCUGUGAAGGUGUGCUGUGAGGCAUGCUGGAGGUAUCAGAAGUGCGAAUGCUGACAUAAGUAACGAUAAAGCGGGUGAAAAGCCCGCUCGCCGGAAGACCAAGGGUUCCUGUCCAACGUUAAUCGGGGCAGGGUGAGUCGACCCCUAAGGCGAGGCCGAAAGGCGUAGUCGAUGGGAAACAGGUUAAUAUUCCUGUACUUGGUGUUACUGCGAAGGGGGGACGGAGAAGGCUAUGUUGGCCGGGCGACGGUUGUCCCGGUUUAAGCGUGUAGGCUGGUUUUCCAGGCAAAUCCGGAAAAUCAAGGCUGAGGCGUGAUGACGAGGCACUACGGUGCUGAAGCAACAAAUGCCCUGCUUCCAGGAAAAGCCUCUAAGCAUCAGGUAACAUCAAAUCGUACCCCAAACCGACACAGGUGGUCAGGUAGAGAAUACCAAGGCGCUUGAGAGAACUCGGGUGAAGGAACUAGGCAAAAUGGUGCCGUAACUUCGGGAGAAGGCACGCUGAUAUGUAGGUGAAGUCCCUCGCGGAUGGAGCUGAAAUCAGUCGAAGAUACCAGCUGGCUGCAACUGUUUAUUAAAAACACAGCACUGUGCAAACACGAAAGUGGACGUAUACGGUGUGACGCCUGCCCGGUGCCGGAAGGUUAAUUGAUGGGGUUAGCGGUAACGCGAAGCUCUUGAUCGAAGCCCCGGUAAACGGCGGCCGUAACUAUAACGGUCCUAAGGUAGCGAAAUUCCUUGUCGGGUAAGUUCCGACCUGCACGAAUGGCGUAAUGAUGGCCAGGCUGUCUCCACCCGAGACUCAGUGAAAUUGAACUCGCUGUGAAGAUGCAGUGUACCCGCGGCAAGACGGAAAGACCCCGUGAACCUUUACUAUAGCUUGACACUGAACAUUGAGCCUUGAUGUGUAGGAUAGGUGGGAGGCUUUGAAGUGUGGACGCCAGUCUGCAUGGAGCCGACCUUGAAAUACCACCCUUUAAUGUUUGAUGUUCUAACGUUGACCCGUAAUCCGGGUUGCGGACAGUGUCUGGUGGGUAGUUUGACUGGGGCGGUCUCCUCCUAAAGAGUAACGGAGGAGCACGAAGGUUGGCUAAUCCUGGUCGGACAUCAGGAGGUUAGUGCAAUGGCAUAAGCCAGCUUGACUGCGAGCGUGACGGCGCGAGCAGGUGCGAAAGCAGGUCAUAGUGAUCCGGUGGUUCUGAAUGGAAGGGCCAUCGCUCAACGGAUAAAAGGUACUCCGGGGAUAACAGGCUGAUACCGCCCAAGAGUUCAUAUCGACGGCGGUGUUUGGCACCUCGAUGUCGGCUCAUCACAUCCUGGGGCUGAAGUAGGUCCCAAGGGUAUGGCUGUUCGCCAUUUAAAGUGGUACGCGAGCUGGGUUUAGAACGUCGUGAGACAGUUCGGUCCCUAUCUGCCGUGGGCGCUGGAGAACUGAGGGGGGCUGCUCCUAGUACGAGAGGACCGGAGUGGACGCAUCACUGGUGUUCGGGUUGUCAUGCCAAUGGCACUGCCCGGUAGCUAAAUGCGGAAGAGAUAAGUGCUGAAAGCAUCUAAGCACGAAACUUGCCCCGAGAUGAGUUCUCCCUGACCCUUUAAGGGUCCUGAAGGAACGUUGAAGACGACGACGUUGAUAGGCCGGGUGUGUAAGCGCAGCGAUGCGUUGAGCUAACCGGUACUAAUGAACCGUGAGGCUUAACCUU